Molecule: ribosomal RNA, 497 nt
Filed under: uncultured bacterium
Lineage: Bacteria
Description: partial 16S ribosomal RNA
Rfam family: Bacterial small subunit ribosomal RNA
Source: RNAcentral
GAUGAACGCUGGCGGCGUGCCUAAUACAUGCAAGUCGAGCGAACAGAUGAGGAGCUUGCUCCUCUGACGUUAGCGGCGGACGGGUGAGUAACACGUGGAUAACCUACCUAUAAGACUGGGAUAACUUCGGGUAACCGGAGCUAAUACCGGAUAAUAUAUUGAACCGCAUGGUUCAAUAGUGAAAGACGGUUUUGCUGUCACUUAUAGAUGGAUCCGCGCCGCAUUAGCUAGUUGGUAAGGUAACGGCUUACCAAGGCGACGAUGCGUAGCCGACCUGAGAGGGUGAUCGGCCACACUGGAACUGAGACACGGUCCAGACUCCUACGGGAGGCAGCAGUAGGGAAUCUUCCGCAAUGGGCGAAAGCCUGACGGAGCAACGCCGCGUGAGUGAUGAAGGUCUUCGGAUCGUAAAACUCUGUUAUUAGGGAAGAACAAAUGUGUAAGUAACUAUGCACGUCUUGACGGUACCUAAUCAGAAAGCCACGGCUAACUACGUG